Molecule: long non-coding RNA, 5909 nt
Filed under: Zostera marina
Lineage: Eukaryota; Viridiplantae; Streptophyta; Magnoliopsida; Alismatales; Zosteraceae
Description: long non-coding RNA (ZMAR_LNC003086)
Source: RNAcentral
UGCUGCAUUAGUGUUGUCGUGUGAUAAAUUAAUCAGUUUUUUUUUUUAAAUCUUCUUAGACACACUUAAGUUUGAAUUCAUGUUUUAACUUUGGUUGCGUGCAUGUGUUUUGGAAUAUAGUUAGGAAAGCGAAAGUGGAAGAAGAUGAGCUUCGAUGUGAGUGAGGGACGACAAUAGUAGGUACCUGCCGGCAAUGCGUCCCCGUGACAUCUGCAACAUUGAACAGCGUGGGUUGUGUUGUUACCGUCUGCCGUCUGGGUGUGGAAAUGUGGAAUAUUUACUGUUUAAACCAACAUUAAAAAAAUCUUUGCUACUCAACGGUCAACAUGUAAGUGAGGAGCUGUUUGAUAGAGCCCUGUUGGAGGAGGAGUCCAUGCUGAAGGAGAUCUAUCACCAACUGGAACAGGACGACGCCGACGUUGCUGAGGAGGAGGUCGAGAUCGACGUUGACCGGAGUGCAGCCGCUGACCGCCCUGUGAGAAGGAGAUUCCCGUCGACAAGGCUUAAGGAUUUUGAAUUGGGUUAGCGGGAAUGGGAAAUUGGGUUAAUUGCAAUUUGGUUAUUAUGUUAUGUUAUUUCCUUAUAACUAUUUAGCUAAUUAGUUUCAGCAAACGUGUACCCCUAUAAAAGGGUAACUCAAGCAUUUUAUUAAUUAAUCAAUAUUUUUUAAGUUUCUAAAAAACAAAUUGGGUUGCAACAACCCUAGUUUUAAACACUGUUUUAUUGCUCCAGCCGUCAACCAUCUCUCCCAAAUCUCCAUCCAGCCAAGUCCACUUCAUCAUUGGUGCUUUCAAUCCCUCCUGCCGGCCGGGUCUAGCUCAAAGUCCGACGAUCAUUUGAAGAUCUUCAGAAGACAAAGAAAAAAAAUCUGCAAAUACAAAAAAAAAACAAAUCAAAAGCAUGUUUUCUGCUUAAGAGAUCCCAAUCAGGAACGUAUACAACUAUUCGAUUCAAUAUUAAUUCUAUUAUUGAACACAAAAAAAAAUUUCAAGUCAUUGAUUUUAUGGAGGAACAUCUGAAGAAGGUUUUGUAAACCUAUAAAACUACAAAAAAAAUCUCUCCAAAAGCGUGUUCUCUGCUUAAGAGAUCCGGAUCAGGGACGUAUUUAUUAAUCCCUAUCUUUAAAACUGUUCUUCUAUUCAGUGACAUAAUUAUAUUUCAGAUCUCCAAUCAUCGGGGGUAAUGACAGAAAAUAUGAAGGUCCAAUUAAAAAGACUUUAAAUAAAGCAUGACACCGAAGCUGAAAGAUUAAGAAGUAUGGAACAAACACUAGCAAAGAUGAGCGAAACCCUACUACUCAUCAGUAAUACAGAACCACACGGACAGGGACAGCAGAAGCAAGAGAUGAAAUACAAGUCAAUUAGGACAGAAAUGCCUAAAUUUGACGGUGAUAAUGUACAAGGCUGGAUUUAUAAAGCAAAAAAGUAUCUAAGGUAUCACAACAUACCAGACGAAGAAAGAAUUACAGUGGCUACAUUCAACAUGGAAGGAGAAGCUCUGGAAUGGCUUCUAUGGGCAGAUAACAAUAAUGCUCUUAAGUCCUGGUCUGAUUUUCUGGACGACCUUGUUAAGAGAUUUGGUACUUCAGCUUAUGAAAUACCUGCGGGAAGGCUAAGCAAACUAAUGCAAACAAGCUCUGUGAAGGAAUACCAACAUCAAUUUGAAGCUAUGUCUAAUAAAGUUACCGAUGUUAAUCCCGGAAUGAUGAAAGAAAUAUUUAUGUCAGGAUUAAAGAAUGAAAUUCAAAAAGAUGUUAUUAAAGCUAGACCUGAAAAUUUGGUGGAGGCAUUUGCUCUGGCCCAAUUGUACGAAAGAAAUGAUAUGAGUACUGAUAUUGUAAGGUACUGCCCAGCAGCAAGCUCAAUAGCUAGUGAGGUAUAUUCUAAACCAUCCAGCUCAUUAUAACCCUAUAUACCACCACAUAGAAAAGCAUUAGCACUACCACCCAUUGAAAACAAAAAAUGACCUAUUUUGAGACAGAAACUCACUCCUGCUGAAAUGAGAAUAAAAAGAUCUAAGAACGAGUGUUUUAAUUGCACUGAGAAGUGGGAAAGAGGCCACAAGUGCAAAGGAAGGCUAUUUUUACUAUCAGUUGAUGGAGAGUGCUUUGCUGAAUAUACAUAGCCUAAUGAAGAUGAAGAAUAAUUUGUUGAUGCUGUUGAGGAAAUCAGGGCUGAACAUACUCAUAUAAGUUACCACUCACUACAAGGCCAACUCAGUCCAAGAACCCUGAAAUUAGCUAAUAUUAAUAAUUUAAAAGUAUCAGUUUUGCUAAAUUCUGGCUCCACUCACAAUUUUCUUCAGGAGGAGGUGACAAGGUAUUUAAGACUACCAAUCACUCCUAUUCCUUCAUUCCUAGUGUCUACAGGAAGUGGGGUUUCAUUAAGGUGCGAUAAGAUGUGUAAACAAGUAAAAAUGGCUGUUCAAGGUGUGACAAUGAUAAUUGAUAUGUUUGUUCUGAACAUGGAAGGGGCCAACCUUGUAUUAGGAAUCCAAUGGUUCAAGAUUGUAGGAUCAGUUCUGUCUAAUUACACAGACAUGAACAUUGAGUUCAAUUGGAAUGGAGAAAGGAUUAAAUGGGUGGGUGAACCAAUCCUAACUGAUGAUGAGUUAUCUAAAAAUGAAAUGAAUUCCCUAGCAGCAACUACUGUUGGAGCAUUUUUCUGCAGGUUUGAAUAUAUUGGGGAAGUGAACUCGAAAAAACAGAAAAUAAAGGAAAAUACUGAAAAUAAAGAAGAAAUUAUGACCUCUAUUAUUACUGAAUUUUCUGAUGUGUUUGAUGAACCUGUAGGGCUGCCACCUCUGAGAUCACAAUUCCAUAAUAUCACCUUGGAAAAAUCAGCAGACCUGUUAGUGUAAGGCCAUAUCGACAAGCCCAAUUUCAGAAGGAUGAGAUUGAAAAAAUUGUUCAAGAAAUGAUGAAACAACAAAUUAUUAAAGAAAGCAGCAGUCCUUAUUCUUCUCCAGUGUUAUUAGUAAAAAAGAAGGAUGGAAGUUGGAGAUUGUGUGUUGAUUAUAGGGCCCUAAAUAAAAUCACAAUCAAGGAUAAAUUCCCUAUACCUACAGUAGAUGAGAUCCUUGCAGAAUUAAAAGGAGCAAAAAUAUUUUCAAAGCUGGAUUUAAGGUCUGGAUAUCAUCAGAUCUUAAUAAAUCCUAAGGAUGUGGAGAAGACUGCCUUUAGAACUCAUCAAGGGCAUUAUGAGUUUCUAGUGAUGUCCUUUGGCCUCACUAAUGCACCAGCAACCUUUCAGGCUACAAUGAACAGAAUAUUCUCACCAUUUCUAAGAAGGUUUGUUUUUGUUUUUUUUGAUGAUAUAUUAAUUUUCAGUUCUUCCAAGGAGGAUCACAUUGAUAAUCUCAAAACAGUAUAAAAAGUACUCAGGGAUAAUCAGCUCUAUGCCAAACAGUCUAAAUGUCUUUUUUUUUCAAAAUGAGCUACAAUUCCUUGGUCAUAUAAUAUCAGGUGAGGGAAUUAAGCCUGACCCAGAGAAAGUAGCAGCAAUAAUGAAUUGGCCAUUACCAAAAAAUAUCAAAGCAUUGAGGGGAUUCCUAGGAUUAUCAGGCUAUUACAGGAAAUUUGUAAAAAAUUAUUCUCACCUAGCGGCACCUAUGACUGAUCUGUUAAAAAAAGACAAAUUCAUAUGGAGUGAAUUAGCAGAGAAGAGCUUAAUGGUAUUGAAGGAAGCUAUCACAUCAGCCUCAGUCCUACAUCACCCUGAUUUUUCUAAACCCUUUGCCAUUGAGACUGAUGCUUGUCUUAAUGGACUUGGAGCAGUAUUGAGCCAAGAGGGCCAUCCCAUUGCAUUUUUCAGUUCAAAAUUAUCAGGGAGGAUGCUCCUAGCUUCAACUUACUCAAAAGAAAUGCUAACAAUUACACAAGCUGUUUCUAAGUGGAGACACUACCUAUUGGGUCAUCAUUUUGUUAUUCAUACAUAUCAUCAGAGUAUUAGGAACAUGAUAAAUCAGAUAAUCCAAACCCCAGAUCAACAAAAAUUCCUAUGUCAAUUAUUGGGAUUUGAUUAUUCGAUUAAAUACAAGCCUGGAAAAGAGAAUAAGGCAGCUGACGCCCUUUCUCGACAGUUUGAAGGCCUUAAUUCAGAAGAAGAAAUUCAGAGAGGAUCAUUAUUGAGUUUAUGUGCUGUGGUUAGUAAUUUGUUAGUCAAAGUUAAAGAUGAACAAAAUUCAAGGGAAGAUCUAUUGGCAAUAAAGGAGACAGUUCUUGUAGGGACUGGAAAAAAUCAGUAUAUGAAUGUUAGAGAAGGUUUACUUUUCAAAGGAGACAGCUAUGUAAUGUCAAAUAAUUCAAGCCUAAUUAAUGAUAUUUUUAGAGAAUACCAUGAUAGCAUAAUUGGGGGUCAUUCAGGAGUGGAAAGGACCAUCAAGAGGAUUAAAUUAAUCUUUUGGUGGAAAGGAAUGUCUAAAGUAGUUAAAAAAUAUGUGGAUGAUUGUAUGGUGUGUCAAAGGAUGAAGACUCCUACAAAAAAACCUCAAGGCCUGUUGAAACCUCUACCUACACCGGAGGUAGUGUGGAAUGACAUCUCCACAGAUUUUAUAACUAAUCUACCAUUAGUAAAAGGAAAAUCAGUCAUUAUAGUGGUGGUAGACAGAUUAUCUAAAUUCUGUCAUUUGGGAGCUCUUCCAAAAGAAUUCAAUUCCAAGAUGGUGGCUGCUUAUUUUGUUAAAGAAAUCAUAAGACUACAUGGAAUUCCAGCAUCCAUUGUAUCUGACAGAGACAAAGUGUUCACUAGCAGUUUUUGGAAAGAAAUCAACAAACUGAGUGGAACUACACUAAAGCUAUCUUCAGCUUACCAUCCGGAAACAGAUGGACAAACUGAAGUAAUAAACAGGGGUAUUGAGAUGUAUCUGAGGUGUUUAGUCCAUGAUCAACCAAAAAAACGGUUAGAACUACUUCCUUGGGCAGAAUUGUGGCAUAAUUCUACAUUCAAUGUGUCUAUAGGAAUGACACCCUUCAUGGCUCUAUAUGGAAGGGAAGCAAAUUCUUUUAUUGAACAGACUAGAGGAAUCUCAUCUAACCUAGAGGUUGAGGAAGAAUUGUUAAGAAGGCAAGAAAUACUGGAAACUGUAAAAAUUAAUCUAGACAAAGCAAAGGAGAGAAUAAAGAGGCAAGCAGAUCUUCAUAGAAGGGACAUCGAAUUUGCAGUGGGAGAUUGGGUUUUCGUUAAACUAAAACCUUAUAGACAGAUAUCUACAACACAGAGGCUCCAUCACAAAUUAUCGACUAGAUUUUAUGGUCCCUAUGAGAUUUCAAAAAAAAAGAAGCGAAGUGGCCUAUAAGGUAAAACUACCUGAGUACAGUUCAAUUCAUGAUGUUUUUCAUGUUAGUUUACUAAAGGAAUACAAGGGAAAAGUACCUCCGGAGGAGAUUGGAGUCCUUCCCAAAUAUCAGUAAGAAAUGAGUCCAUAAUAUACCCUGAAGCAAUUCUUGGAAGAAGAUCAUUGCUAGGAAAGGGGAAGAUGACGGAAAAGGUGCAGAUUCGCUGGACUGGGCGCGACAGGAGGGAGACAUCUUGGGAAGAACCGGAGAAGCUACGGGCGGCGUUCCCAUCGUUCAACCUUGAGGACAAGGUCGAUUUGGAGGGGGAAGGAGAUGAUAGAGCCCUGUUGGAGGAGGAGUGCAUGCUGAAGAAGAUCUAUCACCAACUGGAACAGGACGACGCCGACGUUGCUGAGGAGGAGGUCGAGAUCGACGUUGACCGGAGUGCAGCCGCUGACCGCCCUGUGAGAAGGAGAUUCCCAUCGACAAGGCUUAAGGGUUUUGAAUUGGGUUAGCGGGAAUGGGAAAUUGGGUUAAUUGCAAUUUGGUUAUUAUGUUAUGUUAUGUUAUUUCUUUAGAACUAUUUAGCUAAUUAGUUCCAGCAAACGUGUACCCCUAUAAAAGGGUAACUCAA